AAAAUGAAAUCCUCGGAAUA
This 20-nucleotide small RNA is filed under the name Brassica napus (rape). Its description in RNAcentral is "PsRNA_37". Lineage: Eukaryota; Viridiplantae; Streptophyta; Magnoliopsida; Brassicales; Brassicaceae. The record is from RNAcentral.